GCGGCCAUAGUCUAGCCCGGUCUAGGAUGGCACCCUUCCAAGGUGCUGAGCCGGGUUCAAAUCCCGGUGGCCGCACCA
This 78-nucleotide transfer RNA is filed under the name Candidatus Thorarchaeota archaeon. RNAcentral describes it as "tRNA-Gly". It matches the Rfam family "tRNA". Rfam says of the family: Transfer RNA (tRNA) molecules are approximately 80 nucleotides in length. Their secondary structure includes four short double-helical elements and three loops (D, anti-codon, and T loops). The record is from RNAcentral. Lineage: Archaea; Promethearchaeati; Candidatus Thorarchaeota.